This 72-nucleotide transfer RNA is filed under the name Dendronephthya gigantea. Its description in RNAcentral is "tRNA-Gly". It matches the Rfam family "tRNA". From Rfam's summary of the family: Transfer RNA (tRNA) molecules are approximately 80 nucleotides in length. Their secondary structure includes four short double-helical elements and three loops (D, anti-codon, and T loops). The record is from RNAcentral. Lineage: Eukaryota; Metazoa; Cnidaria; Anthozoa; Malacalcyonacea; Nephtheidae.
GCGUUGAUGGUGUAAUGGUUAGCAUUGCUGCCUUCCAAGCAGUAGGUCUGGGUUCGAUUCCCAGCCAACGCA